CUGCACCAGCAGCAAGCAGAAGUUCCUGGGCCAGGGCUUGACCCUGGCCACUGCAGUGAACAACGCCAGAUCCUCAACUCAGCCGAGCCACCAGGGAACUCCCCCUUACCUUUAGAAAAGAGAGUCGUGAUGGGGCGGGGGGGGGGGGGGCGGNUAUUACCUCCCUAGGCAAGGCCCCGUGAGAUAAUGGAGAGUAUUUCCCCCUAAUACAUCAUGAUUCUUCUGUCUGUCAGGGAAAAGUCCUUUAUUCAAUGUCUAUUGCUUGAUUUGAAAGCCAAAUCCAAAUCUCAAUUCCAUCCUGACAAUAUUUCCAUUAAAUAAAAUCCUCCGUCUUGUUGGGAGCUUUUUAAAUCAAUCUGCUACCAAGAGCUUCUGAAUAAGUUAAUAAUGCAGACACCUGACUCACUCUCCUGCAAGCACUCCUCCACCAAAAAUCAAUGGACUUUGUUCAACCUAUCAAAACAGUUAGCAGUUGAGCAGUCAUACAAUUAAAAUGCAGCUCCUCCUCAUAGCCUUUCUCAUACUGAAAGAGAAAAAAAUAUAGGCAAGUAUGCUGAAGUCUUGGGAGUAACAGAAUUAAGACAGAGCAGCUGGGUUCAAAUCUGGACUUCAUUCCUUAGAGUAAAACUCACAUUUUUUACUAAGUGCACAGGACACAGAAGACAUUGAGGCACAUGCACAUGACCAUCUUUCUCAGCCCACUUUUACUGAUUGAUUUUUAUUUCUUUUUUAAAGGAAGUAGAGUUAUUUACAAUGCUGUGUUAGUUUCAGGUGUACAGCAAAGUGAUCCAGUUACACACACACACACACACACACACACACACACACACACAUAUAUACUUUUUCAGAUCUUUCCUAUUAUAGGUUAUUAUUACAUCCCACUAUUAUUAUUCCCAUUAUAGGUUAUAUGCUACUGAAUAUAGUUCCCUGUCUCAGCCCAUUUUUUAAUGUAUGUAUGUAUUUAUUUAUUAUUUUAUUGAAGUAUAGUGGACUUACAAUGCUGUAUUAAUUUCGGCUAGAUAGCAAAAUGACUCAGUUAUAUAUAUUCUCUUUCAUGUUUCUUUUCCAUUAUGGUUUAUCACGGGAUAUUGAAUAUAGUUCCCUGUGCUGUAUAGUAGGACCUGGCUGUUUGUCCAUCCUGUGCUUACUAGCUCACAGCUGUUCAUCCCAAAUUCCCAUUCCUUCUCUCCCUUAGCUUUCCUCCCCCUUGGCAACCACAAGUCUGUUCUCUAUGCUUGUGAGUCUGUUUCUGUUUCAUAACAUGUUCAUUUAUAUUGAGUUCCCUUGUGCUGCAGAAGCCUAAGGAUCUGGCAUUGUCACUGUAGCAGCUGGGGUCACUGCUGUGGCACGGGUUUGAUUCCAGGCCAGAGAACUUCUACAUGCUGCAGGGGCAGCCAAAAACAAACAAACAAACAAACAAACAAACAACAAGAUAACUUCCCUAAGACCACAAAAAGAGUGGGGCUUCACACAAAGUGACCUAAGAACAGCCAUAACCUGGACAAAGUGUCACCUAGUAAUGCAACCUGGCUUUUUUCCGAUAUCACACUAUAAAAAGGGGUUUGGAACAACAUAGAUGGGUUUCAAAAGUUACCAUACUUUUCUCAAUUCUUUGGCAUCAAGAUAAAAGACAUUCAUCCUAUACAGAGGCUGUAUGUGUGAAUAAAUCCAACACAGCCUGAAAAACUCACAGUUCUUUUUCCACCUGCCAAGCUCUCACAAGCCCCAUAAAGAAGAAAGCCUACGCUCAGCUUACCUGGAGGGGAAGAAGUCAGGGAUGAGUUUGCAGAGGUCUUCCAAAUUGCCUUCUUCCCCUCUGCACCCAGAAGGACCCUAAAAGAGCCCCCCAAAGGGGCUGGAGCUGAAGACCUUCUAGAUAACAUCAUGGAUAAUUAAUUAUUCAUGGAUGGUGAGAUUCUUAGUAGCUUCAUUAUGAAUUAGGACCCAUAUUAGGCAUUUCUGAUUUUCCUUCCACCUACAUACAGACUAAGUAAGUAGAGGGCUAUUGAUUUGAUCGGAAGAAAACACUGGAAAAUAAGUCUGAGUAUCAAGGCAUUAAGUGCUCCUGUGAGGAGAAAAAUAUAUUAAAUGUCAGGAAGUGCAACAGAAAUAAAAACACAGAUAGAAAAUGGAACGGAUUCAUGUCAUGUGCCCCCAAGAAUUUAGAAAUUUGGCUGCACCUCUAGAUUUCUGCUCCACUGCUUCUGGCUGAGUACAGAAGCAUGCCAACCAGCCGUGACUCGGUAAGUCCUGAGAAUCUUCCUUUGAAGAUUUUCAAAUUGUAUUUAAUACAAAGCGUGUCUCAAAAAAGACUCAGUAAUCAUUGAUCAAUAAAAUAUAUUCCCUUCCAUGGAAUGCCUUUUUAUAGCUCCACUCUGAAAAGCACUGGAGACCUGCCACCCCCUUGGGGAUCAAAGACAGACUAAUAUUAGUCAGGCCCACAGAGCACAAAGGAAAAUGUCUCUGAUAACUUUGUGCUUUAUGUACAGCCAGAAGUGGAUCAUUCUGGAAAAAAUGAGUUCAUUUACUCUGUAAUUCAGAAGAAAGAGGGUCUUCCCUUUCUCAGAAUUUUCCUGAUCCCAAAUUAUUUAUUUAUUUAUUUAUUUUUGCUUUUUAAGGCAUCGCCCACGGCAUAUGCAAGUCCCCAGGGUAGGGGUCAAAUCAGAGCUACAGCUGCCAGCCUACACCACAGCCACAGCAAUGCUGGAUCGGAGCCACAUCUUCGACCUACACCACAGCUCAUAGCAACACUGGAUCCUCGACCCACUGAACAAGGCCAGGGAUCAAACCCGCAUCCUCAUGGAUACUAGCGGGAUUCGUUUCCACUGAGCCACGAUGGGAACUCCCCGAUCCCUUAUUAAAGUCAAUUGGAAAGUAUCCCAAGUAAGAGUGAAAGACUGACUAGCUCUUAGAUUUAAUGUAGGUACUGAAUUCACAAAAACUUGAGACAAAGACACAGAGAAGGAUCCAUGAGUUUGGCACAGCAACUUGAGAUGAUGUUUGCUGGAUAGAAACCUGUCUUCAUAGGAAAUACACCUUAGCUAGGCUCUACCCAAGAAUUAGGAAACUUUAGAAUCUGUGCCAAUGAAACGAAGCUGACUGAACAAUGUGGAAAGUUUCUACUUCACUGCAUGUACCUAUUUUCCCCUUCAUCCCUCCUUUUGCCAUCUUUUUCCUGCCCCAUUUUUUCUCUCCUUUUCUCCUUCUCCCCCUAAGCCAGCUUUUACUUGUGGUAAUGAGCCACAGCCUCUGCUUAAUUUCACUGAAUUCUCCAUCCAACGUUAAUCUAGGCAAAGAGGGUACUCCCCUCUGCCCUUUGCAAAAUCAGCUGGCAUAGAAAGAGCUAGUGACUUUGUAAUCCCAAGCUAAACUCAAGUAGCACCAAGUUUUCACAGGUCGACAGAUCUCUGCACACAACCCAAGGCAUCAGUAAGGUCUGCUUUCUCCGGUCAAGGGUGUUCUUUUUCAUCGCGACUGCUUUAAUAAGCAGAAUUCAUAAAAGGACGGCCAUCCUUGGCUACCGAUGUCUUUCUUUUUUGUUUCCUCCCGGGCAGUAAGACUGUUUCACGGAACAUGGAGAAAUCUCCCUCCAAUCCAUAGAGGGAAAAAUGUGAUACUCUUGUGAUAGGCAGUUUUUUCAUGAAACACUGAAAUUCCAUUUCCCUGCGUUAUAAUUUUUAGGUCAUUACAUACUAAGCAAAGUUAGAAUAUUCCAUUUAAAUGUAAAAUGAUCUUCUCCCAGGAUUGGCAGAGCAGCACUGCCAUAAACAAACCAUUUGAGCAAGUUAGAAAUUUAGUCUCUAAUAAAAAUAGGUAUGGGAGGGUUUAUAAUAGUCUGCAAGGCAAUAAGCAGAUCUUAAUCUACUACCCAGCCAUCUCCUGAUAAAUGAAGCUAUGUGUCGAGGGACCAUAAGACCCAAAUCAACUGUCAGUGAGAUUUAUGACAUGAACUUCUCAAAGGAAGGAUAUCCCAGUACAUUGCCUCAUUCCAUUGACUAAGCAGUCAGAGCCCCCACGUCUGCAGGAAACCAAAGGGACCUUUUCCAUGGUACCAUCUGCAACCUCGGCAGGUCAGCUGAUGAGAAGUUAUCUAAAAAUGUGCAAAUAAAUAUGACCCACAGCAGAGGACAUCCAGAACUUUAUAGAAAAUAGAAGAGAUUGGAGUUCCCAUCAUGGCUCAGUGGUUAGGGAACCCGACUGGCAUCCAUGAGGAUGUGGGUUCAAUCCCUGGCCUCACUCAGUGGAUUAAGAAUCCGGCAUUGCCGUGAGCUGUGGUGUAAGUCACAGGCAUGGCUCAGAUCCUGAACUGCCGUGGCUGUGGUGUAGGCCAGCAGCUGAAGGUCUGAUUCAACCCCUCGCCUAGGAAUCUCCAUAUGCCGCAGGUUUGCCCCGCCCCCCCAAAAAGACAAAAAGACCAAAAAAAUAGAAGAGAGUCAAUCCAGGCCUCUCAAUACUCUAGGUUUGUGGAGCAAUUAGAGGACCAGGAAGGCUGGCAACCAAGAGAUUCUAUGUAGAGCAAGUUAAUUCUGCCUCUGCUUUCCUUGCUGAUACCACUUUAGGCUCAGGAGCCAGGAGGUCCUCGAUGCUGACUGUUUCCACUUAUGGGCAAAUCAGAUCACUUUUAUAAAUCCUUUUUGAAUGAUGGCGUAGAUGUUAAGUUAAAUAAAAGAGUGUGAUACAGCAAAAACUGAACUUCUUAAAUAUGGCAGGACCCUACCCAAGUACAUCAGCAUCCCUGUACCCUGAGCAUCCCACCAAGAAGCUGGGGGCCAAAGAAUCUAGGCAGAAAUACACUGCAUCUGUACCAGCUCCCAAUAACCAUCCCAUUUUCCCUAGGUUUAUGUAUCCUUAGCAUAAUACAGGAUCUUAACCUUAAUCUUAUAGUGAGUGAGAUUAUACAAAACUUCAGACACAACUUGGAAUAGAUGUACAAGGAGAUCCUGCUGAGUAGCAUUGAGAACUAUGUCUAGAUACUCAUAUUGCAACAGGACAAAGGGUGGGGGGAAAAUGUAUACAUGUAAGGAUAACUUGAUCCCCUUGCUGUACAGUGGGGAAAAAAAACAAAUUCCACUGUAGAUAAAAUAGCAAUACAUAAAGAUGUGAUACACACACACACACACACACACACACACACACACACACAAAUGGAAUACUACUCUGCCAUAAAAAAGAAUGCAGUAAUGGCAUUUGCAGCAACAUAGAUGGACUUAGAGAUUAUCAUACUAAGUGACGUAAGUCAGAUAGAGAAAGACACAUAUCAUAUAGGAUAUCACUUAUGUGUGGAGUCUAAAAAAAAUGAUACAAAUGAACUUAGUUAGAAAACAGAUGCACAGACAUAGAAAACAAACUUACGGUUACCAAAGGGGAAGGGGGUGGGGGAGGGAUAAAUUAGGAGUUUGGGA
Molecule: long non-coding RNA, 5402 nt
Filed under: Sus scrofa (pig)
Lineage: Eukaryota; Metazoa; Chordata; Mammalia; Artiodactyla; Suidae
Description: lncRNA (ENSSSCG00030049825.1)
Source: RNAcentral